This 498-nucleotide ribosomal RNA is filed under the name uncultured bacterium. RNAcentral's name for it is "partial 16S ribosomal RNA". It matches the Rfam family "Bacterial small subunit ribosomal RNA", at positions 28 to 507 of the family's 1533-position model. The record is from RNAcentral.
GACGAACGCUGGCGGCGUGCCUAAUACAUGCAAGCCGAACGAGAGCGACCGGUGCUUGCACUGGUCAAUCUAGUGGCGGACGGGUGAGUAACACGUAGGUAACCUGCCCAUCAGAGGGGGAUAACAUUGGGAAACGGAUGCUAAAACCGCAUAAGACUUCGAACCGGAUGGUUUAAAGGGGAAAAGAGGCGCAAGCUUCUGCUGGUGGCUGGACCCGCGGUGCAUUAGCUCGUUGGGGAGGUAACGGCUCACCAAGGCCGUGAUGCAUAGGCGACCUGAGAGGGUGGUUCGCCACAAUUGGACUGAGGCACGGCCCAAACUCCUACGGGAAGGAACAGUAGGGAAUCAUCCGCAAUUGGCGGAAGUCUGACGGAGCAACGACGGGUGAGUGAAGGAGGUUUUCGGAGCGUAAAACUCUGUUUGUAGAGAAGGAUAAGUGCUAGAUUAACUGUUAGCGCCUUGACGGUAUCUAACCAGAAAGGCACGGCUAACUACGUG